GACGAACGCUGGCGGCGUGCUUAACACAUGCAAGUCGAACGGAAAGGCCCUGCUUGCAGGGUGCUCGAGUGGCGAACGGGUGAGUAACACGUGGGUGAUCUGCCCCUUACUUUGGGAUAAGCCUGGGAAACUGGGUCUAAUACUGGAUAGGACCAUGCUGUAGGUGGUGUGGUGGAAAGAUUAGUUUCGGUAAGGGAUGAGCUCGCGGCCUAUCAGCUUGUUGGUGGGGUAAUGGCCUACCAAGGCGUCGACGGGUAGCCGGCCUGAGAGGGUGGACGGCCACAUUGGGACUGAGAGACGGCCCAGACUCCUACGGGAGGCAGCAGUGGGGAAUAUUGCACAAUGGGCGCAAGCCUGAUGCAGCGACGCCGCGUGGGGGAUGACGGCCUUCGGGUUGUAAGCUCCUUUCAGCCAUGACGAAGCCCUUGUGGUGACGGUAGUGGUAGAAGAAGCACCGGCUAACUACGUG
RNAcentral lists this ribosomal RNA (469 nucleotides) under uncultured bacterium. RNAcentral's name for it is "partial 16S ribosomal RNA". It matches the Rfam family "Bacterial small subunit ribosomal RNA", at positions 28 to 507 of the family's 1533-position model. The record is from RNAcentral.